RNAcentral lists this ribosomal RNA (253 nucleotides) under uncultured bacterium. RNAcentral describes it as "partial 16S ribosomal RNA". It matches the Rfam family "Bacterial small subunit ribosomal RNA", at positions 524 to 776 of the family's 1533-position model. The record is from RNAcentral.
UACGGAGGGUGCAAGCGUUGUCCGGAUUUAUUGGGUUUAAAGGGUGCGUAGGCGGUCUUUUAAGUCAUUGGUGAAAUCCUCCAGCUUAACUGGAGAACUGCCAUUGAUACUGGGAGACUUGAGUACAGACGAGGUAGGCGGAAUUGACAGUGUAGCGGUGAAAUGCAUAGAUAUUGUCAAGAACACCGAUUGCGAAGGCAGCUUACUAGACUGUAACUGACGCUGAGGCACGAAAGUGUGGGGAUCAAACAGG